Molecule: ribosomal RNA, 253 nt
Filed under: uncultured bacterium
Lineage: Bacteria
Description: partial 16S ribosomal RNA
Rfam family: Bacterial small subunit ribosomal RNA
Source: RNAcentral
UACAGAGACUGCAAGCGUUAUUCGGAUUCACUGGGCGUAAAGGGUGCGCAGGUGGCCAAGUGUGUUAGGCGUGAAAGCCCGGGGCUUAACCCCGGAAUUGCACCUAAAACUACUUGGCUAGAGCAUUGGAGAGGGGAGCAGAAUUCAUGGUGUAGCAGUGAAAUGCGUAGAUAUCAUGAGGAAUACCAGAGGCGAAGGCGGCUCCCUGGACAACACCUGACACUGAGGCACGAAAGCUAGGGGAGCAAACAGG